RNAcentral lists this ribosomal RNA (468 nucleotides) under uncultured bacterium. RNAcentral describes it as "partial 16S ribosomal RNA". It matches the Rfam family "Bacterial small subunit ribosomal RNA", at positions 28 to 507 of the family's 1533-position model. The record is from RNAcentral.
GACGAACGCUGGCGGCGUGCUUAACACAUGCAAGUCGAACGGAAAGGCCCUGCUUUUGUGGGGUGCUCGAGUGGCGAACGGGUGAGUAACACGUGAGUAACCUGCCCUUGACUUUGGGAUAACUUCAGGAAACUGGGGCUAAUACCGGAUAGGAGCUCCUGCUGCAUGGUGGGGGUUGGAAAGUUUCGGCGGUUGGGGAUGGACUCGCGGCUUAUCAGCUUGUUGGUGGGGUAGUGGCUUACCAAGGCUUUGACGGGUAGCCGGCCUGAGAGGGUGACCGGCCACAUUGGGACUGAGAUAAGGCCCAGACUCCUACGGGAGGCAGCAGUGGGGAAUAUUGCACAAUGGGCGGAAGCCUGAUGCAGCAACGCCGCGUGCGGGAUGACGGCCUUCGGGUUGUAAACCGCCUUCGCCUGUGACGAAGCGUGAGUGACGGUAAUGGGUAAAGAAGCACCGGCUAACUACGUG